Molecule: non-coding RNA, 133 nt
Organism: Glycine soja
Lineage: Eukaryota; Viridiplantae; Streptophyta; Magnoliopsida; Fabales; Fabaceae
Source: Rfam
CAUCGCCCAUCACACUAUGGGAGCUGGCCAUGCCCGAAGUCGUUACCUUAACCGCAAGGAGGGGGAUGCCGAAGGCAAGGCUAGUGACUGGAGUGAAGUCAUAACAAAGUAGCCGUACUGGAAGGUGCGGCUA